GCUUUCGUAGCUCAAUUGGUCAGAGCAUCCGACUUUUAAUCGGAAGGCUGUGGGUUCGAGUCCCACCGAUAGCG
This 74-nucleotide transfer RNA is filed under the name Colletotrichum orbiculare MAFF 240422. RNAcentral describes it as "tRNA-Lys (TTT) (tRNA-Lys-TTT-1-1)". It matches the Rfam family "tRNA". Rfam says of the family: Transfer RNA (tRNA) molecules are approximately 80 nucleotides in length. The record is from RNAcentral. Lineage: Eukaryota; Fungi; Ascomycota; Sordariomycetes; Glomerellales; Glomerellaceae.